UGGAUCCAGACUUUGAUUUCUGGCUCAGGACGAACGCUGGCGGCGCGCCUAACACAUGCAAGUCGAACGAGAGAGAGGGAGCUUUCUUCCUCGAUCGAGUGGCGAACGGGUGAGUAACGCGUGAGGAACCUGCCUCAAAGAGGGGGACAACAGUUGGAAACGACUGCUAAUACCGCAUAAGCCCACGACCCGGCAUCGGGAAGAGGGAAAAGGAGCAAUCCGCUUUGAGAUGGCCUCGCGUCCGAUUAGCUAGUUGGUGAGGUAACGGCCCACCAAGGCGACGAUCGGUAGCCGGACUGAGAGGUUGAACGGCCACAUUGGGACUGAGACACGGCCCAGACUCCUACGGGAGGCAGCAGUGGGGAAUAUUGCACAAUGGGGGAAACCCUGAUGCAGCGACGCCGCGUGGAGGAAGAAGGUCUUCGGAUUGUAAACUCCUGUUGUUGAGGAAGAUAAUGACGGUACUCAACAAGGAAGUGACGGCUAACUACGUGCCAGCAGCCGCGGUAAAACGUAGGUCACAAGCGUUGUCCGGAAUUACUGGGUGUAAAGGGAGCGCAGGCGGGAAGACAAGUUGGAAGUGAAAUCCAUGGGCUCAACCCAUGAACUGCUUUCAAAACUGUUUUUCUUGAGUAGUGCAGAGGUAGGCGGAAUUCCCGGUGUAGCGGUGGAAUGCGUAGAUAUCGGGAGGAACACCAGUGGCGAAGGCGGCCUACUGGGCACCAACUGACGCUGAGGCUCGAAAGUGUGGGUAGCAAACAGGAUUAGAUACCCUGGUAGUCCACACCGUAAACGAUGAUUACUAGGUGUUGGGAGAUUGACCCUCUCAGUGCCGCAGUUAGCACAAUAAGUAAUCCACCUGGGGAGUACGACCGCAAGGUUGCAACUCAAAGGAAUUGACGGA
RNAcentral lists this ribosomal RNA (904 nucleotides) under uncultured Bacillota bacterium. RNAcentral's name for it is "bacterial SSU rRNA". It matches the Rfam family "Bacterial small subunit ribosomal RNA", at positions 1 to 917 of the family's 1533-position model. The record is from RNAcentral. Lineage: Bacteria; Bacillati; Bacillota.